This 1192-nucleotide long non-coding RNA is filed under the name Ornithorhynchus anatinus (platypus). RNAcentral describes it as "lncRNA (ENSOANG00000041682.1)". The record is from RNAcentral. Lineage: Eukaryota; Metazoa; Chordata; Mammalia; Monotremata; Ornithorhynchidae.
CCUCUUGGCCCUGUUCAUCUCCCCUGUGGUUUCGUGUUGCCCCUGGCCUGCCCUGACUGGGCUGCUCUGAUCCGUCGGGUAGGUGCCUGGCACGGGGCUCUGCAAGUGCCCAGCCAGAUGUGGCCGUAUCCGGGCGCUGGGGAAGAGAGUCCCGGGCAUUAGGUAGCUUACCCGGGGCUCUUAGGGGGCAGUGCCCUCUCACUUGGGCCAAGUGUCCAGAUCGUGGAGUAAGAGCCGUAAAACCAGAAGUGCCACAAUCCAUGGAAAGCCAGACACCGCAUUGUUUCAGUGAAACCACCAAGUCUAUCUGAAAGGUAGGAAUGAACGAAGAAGGAAGACACUGGAGAAAAAUCCAAGGGCGUUCAGGGAAACAAACUCUCUCCACAGAGAUAAUUGGUAAGAACAGAUAAACAACUGGACAUCAUGGGCACCAUUUUGGCUCCAGCGAAUCUCUCUUUCUCUCUCUCUCUCUCUCUCUCCUGUCAAAGUUUAGCUUGUUUUUACCGUUGAUUGGAAGUGGUGAAGGUUUCUGAUACGAACGCAGUGGCUAGGAGCAGCAGUGCUGUCUGUGGCAGACGGACGCUUUCGAUUUUAAUCAUGAGUGGCGGAAGGAAGCGGCCGGGGCUGGAGAAUCGAGCUGGAGAAAAAGUGACAGGGAAAGGACUGUCGUGAUAGAAUUGAUGUCAGAGAUCUCCUGUGGCAUCAUCAACACCUUUCCUGAGAGAAUGGUGAGAUAUCAGUCUGGUCAACCCUUCGAGAUCAUAAUGGAAUGGACAAUUUAUGGUAAUUAAAAAUUUAAUGAUGAUUUAACAUUUUAUAAGGAGUGAUAAUAAUAAUAGUGGUAUUUGUUAAGCUCUAUGUGCCAGGCACUGUACUGAACACUGGGGUAGAUACAAACUAAUGAGGUUGAACACAGUCCCUGUCCCACAGUCUUAAUCCCCAUUUUAUAGAUGAGGUAAUGAAGGCACAGAGAAGUGGAGUGACUUGCCCAAGGUCACACAGCAGACAAGUGGCAGAGCUGGGAUCAAAAUCCAGAACCUUCUGAUUCCCAGGACUGGACUCUAUCCCCUAGGCCACGCUGCUUCUCCACACGAUGAUAAGUUUAGCACCAGUAAGCGCCUUGUGGAGAGAGUAGACAUUUUGGACUUCUACUGUACUUUCCCAAGCAUUUAGUGCAGCAUGUUGUACCCAG